GACGGGGGGUGCAAGCGUUAAUCGGAUUUAUUAGGCGUUAAGGGUACGUAGGCGGACCGUUAAGUCAGAUGUGAAAUGUCAGAGCUCAACUCUGACACUGCAUUUGAAACUAGCGAUCUAGAGUUUAUUCGGAGAAAAUGGAAUUCCAUGUGUAGCGGUGAAAUGCGUAGAUAUGUGGAGGAACACCAGUGGCGAAAGCGGUUUUCUAGGAUAGACUGACGCUGAGGUACGGAAGCAGGGGGAGCAAACAGG
This 252-nucleotide ribosomal RNA is filed under the name uncultured bacterium. RNAcentral's name for it is "partial 16S ribosomal RNA". It matches the Rfam family "Bacterial small subunit ribosomal RNA", at positions 524 to 776 of the family's 1533-position model. The record is from RNAcentral.